UGCGUAGGCGGCUACUUAAGUCUGUCGUGAAAGCCCACAGCUUAACUGUGGAGGGUCGAUGGAAACUGGGCAGCUUGAAUGCAGAAGAGGUAAGUGGAAUUCCAUGUGUAGCGGUAAAAUGCUUAGAUAUAUGGAGGAACACCAGUGGCGAAGGCGGCUUACUGGUCUGUUAUUGACGCUGAGGCACGAAAGCGUGGGGAGCAAACA
Molecule: ribosomal RNA, 207 nt
Filed under: uncultured bacterium
Lineage: Bacteria
Description: partial 16S ribosomal RNA
Rfam family: Bacterial small subunit ribosomal RNA
Source: RNAcentral